UUACAGCCUCAUCACCACCAUCUGCUCUGAUGACGUGAGGACAACUACCAGCCUGCCCUCCAUCCCUGUCUACAGCAGUCUCAGCUCUCUUAAGACAUGAUUAUUGGUCUGCAAAACUCCUUAUUCCUGGAAUUAGGGUCCUUCCCUACCAGCCCCUCCCUGAAAGGAGGAUUAUCUUUCCUUCCCCACUGAUGUUACAUUUGGCCACACGACUUGCUUUGUACAGAGAAAUAUGAGUGGAAGUCGUGUGUUCCACUUCUCAGCAGAAGACUUAGGAGCCAUCCUAUGGUUCAGCCAUCUCUGUUUUAACUGUUCCAUGAGACUGUCAUGAACCAGACAAGAAAAAGAGGUAUUUAUUCCUUCAGUGUUCGUCUUAGAUGUUCAAGCUGAGCCACAGCUUGCAUACAACUGACCCAUGAUAGACACAAACAUGAACACAAAAUUUUAAAGUUUUGGGGGGAGUGAUCAAGAUGGUAGAGUAGUAGGACAUGAUGCUUACUUCCUCCCACAAAUACAUCAAAAAUACAUCUACAUGUGGAACAAUUCUCAUAGAAUAUCUACUGAAUGGUGGCAGAAGACCUCAGACCUCUGAAAGGGCAAGAAAAUCUCCAUGCAACUGGGUAGAACAAAAGGAAAAAGAAAAGAAAAAAAAAGAAACAGGACAAAGGACUUAGGAUAGGACCUGCAUCCAUGGGAGGAAGCUGUGAAAGAGGAAAAGUUCCUGCAUCCUGGGAAGUCCCCUCACCAGCAGAGAGAACAGCUGGGACAGAGGGGAAGUUUGGGAGCCUCGGUGGAGAAUACAGCAACUGGUUUGAAGCAGCUAGAACGGAGGAAGACCUGCACAGAAGGUCAGUGCCACUGCUCUGCACUCCCCAGCCUGAGACACACGUCUACCGGUACAGGCGGGAGCUGGGUGCAGAAGCUCAGGCUUUGGAGAUCAGACGCGGGGAGAAGACUGGUGUGGGCUCCAUGGAAACAGCCUGAAGGGGCUGGAAUCUGGUGCACCUGUGCCUGAGGGUGUACACAGAGGAAGCCUGGGCCACCUUAGAGGCCAGGCUCCAUUGUGUGAGCAGUGCACAAGGAGAGGGGCGGGGCAGGACCCGCUUUUACAGCCUUUUUCCCUCAGCGAGCUCUCAGGCUGCAGAAUACCACUGACACAAGCUCCAGGAAUGGUCCCGCACCACCGCCCCUGCCCACUGGGCUUCAGGAGCCACUGUGAGCCACCCAGGAGCGGUUGCAAGCUGCUGUCACUGCCCCCCACCCCCCCAGACUACAGGAGCAGUCUCAAGCCACCACCACUCCCAUCACAUGCUCUGGGGGUGCAUGUAAGCUGCCACCACUGCCGAGAACCCCAGGACCAGCCACUGCAUCUGCACACCCUCUAUCAAGGGGAUAACAGCCAGCACAUGCUGAGGUAAGAGGCAACAGGCAUCCAUACUAAAAAGAUCCUUCACACCAAAACUAUUAAGCCCACAUAAGCUACACAGGGAUGCUUCCACAUAUAAAUAGACCUCCAAGACCACAGUAGAUAAUUGCUUCUCCUAAGCGCACAGAAUAAGAGAAAUAUAAGUAAAAUGAAAUAGCAGAGGAACAAUUCCCGGUUAAAAGACCAACAGAAUUCCCCUGGAAGAACAAACAAUGAAACAGACCUCUGCAGUCUAACAGACACCAAUUUCAAAAAGGAGAUAAUGAAAAUAUUGAAUGAAUUAUGAAAGGCUGUCAGCAGAACAGCAGAGUACUGUAAAAAGGAACUAGAAACUGCAGAGGAACCAAGAAAAAUUAGAAAACUCAUUUGCCAAGAUGAAAACUGAACUAAAGGCAAUGAAUAGCAGAAUAAAUAUUGCAGAAUGAGUAAGUGACCUGGAAGAUAGAAUGAUGGACAUCACUUAAUCAGGACAGCAGACAGAAAGGAAAAUGAAAAAAAAAAAAAAAUGAAAGCAAUAUAAGAGACCUAUGGGGUAAUAAAAAGCAUGCCAAUCUACACAUAAUAGGGAUUCCUGCAGGGGAAGAAAGAGAAAAGGGGAUCAAAAAUGCAUUUGAAGAAAUUAUGGCUUAAAACUUCCCAAACCUAAAAAAGGAAGCAUAUCAAGGUACAGGAAGCACAGAGGGUCCCGGACAAUGUAAACCCAAACAGACCUACACCAAAAAAUAAUAUAAUAAAAAUAGCAAAAGUUAAAGACAGGAUUCUAAAGGCAGCAAGAGAAAAAGAAAGAGUUAAUUACAAGGGGACUCCCCCAUAGGCUAUCAGCUGAUUUCUGUACAGAAACAAUGCAGGCCAGAAGGGAGUGGCAAGAUAUAUUCAAGUCCUGAAAGGGAAAAAUCUUCAGCCUAGGAUACUCUACCCAGCAAGAUUAUCAUUUACAAUAAUAUAAGGAGAGAGGGAGAAUUUCUCAGACAAGCAAAAACUAAAAUACAGCAAUACAAAACCUGCCCUAAAGGCAAUAGUGAAGGGUCUUCUCUAAAUAGAAAAGAAUAUAUAGGAAAGAGAAAAUCACAAUGGUCAAGCAAAUCACCUAAAUAAGGCAGUACAAAUGAAAUUUCUGUCAAAGUGAUAACCACAACAAACAGCAAAAGAAUGAACAUGAAGAUGUAAAAGAGGACAUCAAAAUCAUAAAAUGUGGGGGAGGAGAAUAACAAAAUGUAGAUUUUUUUUCAUUUCCUAGAAUGUGUAUGAGGCUGUAUGACUACCAGUCUAAGGCAAGGAGAUAUAGGAUGGGGUUAACAUACUUGAAAAACAGGAUAACUACAUAUCAAAAACAUAGAAUAGAUUCACAAAAACCAAGAAGAAGAGGACAUAACUGUAAUACAAGAGAAAAUCAUCAAACCACAAAAGGAAAAACAAAAAGGGACAAAGAAGAAAUAUAAAAUGGGAAAACAAGGUUAAAAUGGCAAUAAAUACUACUAUCUAUCAUGAAACAGGAGGGAAGUGGGGGCAGGGUACAACCUUUAAAAGAAUGACAUAGGACAAGACAAACUGUUUAGAACCAAAUAGGUCCAAGAUGGCAGACUUCCACUAGAGUCAACUUCCACUAGACCUUGAGCCUCAGUAUACGCUCAUUGUAAUACAUCAGCAAGCUAAAUGACACGCCCACAGGUGCCAUGACUGUUCCAAGUCUGACCAUAAAGGUCAAAAAGUGGGUGGUGGCCCAGUUCCUGGAAAUCCCCACCCCUUCCCCAAAAUAGCUGGAAUAUUCUUCCCACUCAUUAGCCUAUGAAAUUAUCCACCCCUAUAAAAACUAACAACCCCAUACCCUGGGGCCACUCUUGCCUUCUGAGAUGGUCCACACUCUGUGGAGUGUGUUUCUCCCUAAAUAAUCUACUUCUUACCUAUCAAAAAAAAAAAUUACCUUAAAUGUCAGUGGACUAAAUGCUCCAAUCAAAAGACACAGAGUGGCAGACUGGAUUAAAAAACAAGAGCCUACAAUAUGCUGCCUACAAGAGACCCACUUUAGGGCAAAGGACACACAUAGAUUGAAAGUGAGGGGAUGGAAAAAGAUAUUUCAUGCAAAUGAAAAUGACAAGAAAGCAUUUGCCCUAAAGUGGGUCUCUUGUAGGCAGCAUAUUGUAGGCUCUUGUUUUUUAAUCCAGUCUGCCACUCUGAAAGCAAGGGCUGCAAUAGUCAUGUCAGACAAAAUAGACUUUAAAACAAAGGCCAUAAAGAUAAAGGAGGACACUAUAUAAUAAUAAAAGGUUGAAUAUAAGAGGAAGAUUUUACACUCAACAACAUAUAUGCACCUAAUAUAGGAGCUCCCAAAUACAUAAAACCAAUACUAACAGACAAAAUGGGAGAAAUUGACAGGAAUACAAUAAUAAUAGGAGACUUUAACACCCCACUCACAUCAAUGGACAGAUCUUCUGGACAGAAAAUCAGUAAGACAACAGAGAUCCUAAUAGAACAGUUAGACUUAAUUGCUAUUUUCAGAACAUUACAUACAAAAAGGAAGAAAAAAACCAAAACCAGAAUACACAUUGUUUUCAAGCGCACAUGGAACAUUAUCUAGGGUUGAUCACAUACGAGGGGGGCACAAAACAAGCCUCAACAAAUUUAACGGUACAGAAAUUAUCUCAAGCAUCUUUUCUGACCACAGUGUGAAACUAGAAAUCAACCACGGAAAAAGAAAUGAGAAAAGAAUGAUUACAUGGAGACUAAACAACAUGCUUCUAAAAAACAAAGGGUCAACAAAGAAAUCAAAGAGGAAAAUAAAAUAUACCUUGAGAGAAAUGACAAUGAAAACAAAACCAUACAAAAAUCUAUAGGAUGCAGCAAAAGCAGCUCUUAGAGGGAAGUUCAUAAUGAUACAGGCCUUCCUCAAAAAAAGAAAAAAAUCUCAAACAACCUAACCUACCACUUAAAUUAUAGGGGGGUGCUGGGAAGAUGGCGGAAGAGUAAGACACAGAGAUCACCUUCCUCCCCACAGAUACACCAGAAAUACAUCUACAUGUGGAACAACUCCUACAGAACACCUACUGAAUGCUGGCAGAAGACCUCAGACCUCCCAAAAGGCAAGAAACUCCCCAUGUACCUGGGUAGGGCAAAAGAAAAAACAGAGACAAAAGAAUGGGGACAGCACCUGCACCAGUGGGAGGGAGCUGUGAAGGAGGAAAGGUUUCCACACACUAGGAAGCCCCUUCGCGGGUGGAGACUGUGGGAGGUGGAGCUUUGGAGCUGUGGAAGAGAGCACAGCAACGGGAGUGCAGAGGGCAAAGCGGGGAGAUUCCCGCACAGAGGAUUGGUGCAGACUGGCACCCACCAGCCCGAGAGGCUUGUCUGCUCACCCACCAGGGCGGUGAGCUGAGGCCCGUGCUCACAGGCGGAGCUGCGAGCUGAGGCCCGUGCUUUGGUCGGAGCGCAGGGAGAGGACUGGGGUUGGCUGCGUGAACACAGCCUGAAGGGAUUAGUGCACCACGGCUAGCCGGGAGGGAGUCCGGGAAAAGGUCUGGAGCUGCCAAAAAGGCAAGCGACUUUUUCUUCCCUCUUUGUUUCCUGGUGCGCGAGGAGAGGGGUUUAAGAACUCUGCUUAAAGGAGCUCCAGAGACGGGUGCGAGCCGCGGCUAUCACCGUGGACCCAGAGAUGGGCACGAGCCGCGGCUAGAAGUGCGAACCCCAGAGACGGGCGUGAGCUGCGGCUAAAAGCGUGAACCCCAGGGAUGGGCGCGAGCCACGGCUAAAAGCUCGAACCCCAGGGACGGGCGCGAGCCGUGGCUAAAAGCACGGACCCCAGAGACAGGCGGGAGACGCUAAGGCUACU
Globicephala melas (long-finned pilot whale) is the source of this 5249-nucleotide long non-coding RNA. RefSeq lists it as uncharacterized. The record is from RefSeq and is a predicted model, not a curated record. NCBI's taxonomy places the organism in Eukaryota, Metazoa, Chordata, Mammalia, Artiodactyla, Delphinidae.